CCAAUAGCGUAUAUUAAAGUUGUUGCAGUUAAAAAGCUCGUAGUUGAAUUUCGGGAUUGACGUGAUGGUCGUGCCUUACGGGGUAUGAACUGUCGCAGUUGAUUUCUCACCUUCUGGAGAAGCUCGAUGUCCUUAAUUGGGUGUCUUGCGGAACCAGGACCUUUACCUUGAAAAAAUUAGAGUGUUUAAAGCAGGCAUUUUGCUCGAAUACAUUAGCAUGGAAUAAUAGAAUAGGACGGCAUGGUUCUAUUUUGUUGGUUUCUAGGAUCACCGUAAUGAUUAAUAGGGAUAGUUGGGGGCAUUAGUAUUCAAUUGUCAGAGGUGAAAUUCUUGGAUUUAUUGAAGACUAACUACUGCGAAAGCAUUUGCCAAGGAUGUUUUCAUUAAUCAAGAACGAAAGUUAGGGGAUCGAAGACGAUCAGAUACCGUCGUAGUCUUAACCAUAAACUAUGCCGACUAGGAAUCAGACGAUGUUAAUUUUUUAAUGACUCGUUUGGCACCUUACG
This 506-nucleotide non-coding RNA is filed under the name uncultured Glomeromycotina. RNAcentral describes it as "partial small subunit ribosomal RNA". It matches the Rfam family "Eukaryotic small subunit ribosomal RNA", at positions 591 to 1092 of the family's 1831-position model. The record is from RNAcentral. RNAcentral also lists the same sequence under 1 other name. Lineage: Eukaryota; Fungi; Glomeromycota.